GAUGAACGCUGGCGGCGUGCCUAACACAUGCAAGUCGAGCGGCAGCGAGGGGUGCUUGCACCCUGUCGGCGAGCGGCGGACGGCUGAGUAACGCGUGGGAACGUGCCCCAAAGUGAGGAAUAACUGCCCGAAAGGGUAGCUAAUACCGCAUAUUAUCUUCGGAUCAAAGGAUUUAUCCGCUUUGGGAGCGGCUCGCGUCGGAUUAGGUAGUUGGUGAGGUAAUGGCUCACCAAGCCGACGAUCCGUAGCUGGUCUGAGAGGAUGACCAGCCAGACUGGAACUGAGACACGGUCCAGACUCCUACGGGAGGCAGCAGUGAGGAAUCUUCCACAAUGGGCGAAAGCCUGAUAGAGCAACGCCGCGUGCAGGACGAAGGCCUUCGGGUUGUAAACUGCUUUUAUAAGUGAGGAAUAUGACGGUAACUUAUGAAUAAGGAUCGGCUAACUACGUG
Molecule: ribosomal RNA, 451 nt
Filed under: uncultured bacterium
Lineage: Bacteria
Description: partial 16S ribosomal RNA
Rfam family: Bacterial small subunit ribosomal RNA
Source: RNAcentral